Molecule: long non-coding RNA, 628 nt
Filed under: Fukomys damarensis (Damara mole-rat)
Lineage: Eukaryota; Metazoa; Chordata; Mammalia; Rodentia; Bathyergidae
Description: lncRNA (ENSFDAG00000021689.1)
Source: RNAcentral
GACCUUAGGUCUCGCUUUCCUAAGUGGGGCCUCGCUGGACUGGAGUCUUAAAGUUGCAGUACUUUUUCCGGCUUUCAGUUAUUUUCUUACUUAACUGUUGAAGGAUUAAAUGAUUAGAACUCAGCCUCCCGAUGAUUUCUUGAAGUAGAGGAGAGGACGCUCCAGCUGCUAAAGUUCUCCGCACUUUCACGUUCAUUCUCCCACUCCUUGCGCACUUUAAGAAGAAAGCUGCCUCACAAGGUAGCCUCUAAAAUGGAGGGGAAACACAGUAUGCACAUUUCCAGCAUGCUGACAAGAGUCUUUCAGCAACUUUCUGAUGGAAGGAUCUCCUUGGAGAGCCUGUGGCUCCUCUCCUGAGAAAGUCUCCAAGAUGUAACCCCCACAAAAAUAAAAAUAAAUAAAAAUGCAAAGAGGCCGGGCGUGGUGGUGCAGGCCUGUAAUCCCAGCACUCAGAGGCUGAGGCAGGAGGAUUGCUGUGAGUUCGACCAGCCUGGACUACAUAGUGAGUUCCAGGUCAGUCUCAACUAUACAGUGAGACCCUGUUUCAAAAAGAAUAAAAAUUAAAAUUAAAAAAAAGAAAGUCUCCUAGAUGCAACCAGAAUAAAGGCAAGUCUGGGUUGUGUCCCUG